RNAcentral lists this ribosomal RNA (220 nucleotides) under Bacillus wiedmannii. RNAcentral describes it as "partial 16S ribosomal RNA". It matches the Rfam family "Bacterial small subunit ribosomal RNA", at positions 1 to 213 of the family's 1533-position model. Lineage: Bacteria; Bacillati; Bacillota; Bacilli; Caryophanales; Bacillaceae. The record is from RNAcentral.
UUUAUUGGAGAGUUUGAUCCUGGCUCAGGAUGAACGCUGGCGGCGUGCCUAAUACAUGCAAGUCGAGCGAAUGGAUUAAGAGCUUGCUCUUAUGAAGUUAGCGGCGGACGGGUGAGUAACACGUGGGUAACCUACCCAUAAGACUGGGAUAACUCCGGGAAACCGGGGCUAAUACCGGAUAAUAUUUUGAACUGCAUGGUUCGAAAUUGAAAGGCGGCUU